CAAUCACCUACUUCCCCAGUAGCCAUCAACUUUGGCACUUCUGGGGAACCUGACCUAAGGCAAUGGACAACUUCACCUCGAAGCUGUUCUUCUCACGGUUGAACAUGUGGGAAUGGGCAUCGAGAGAGAACAUGCUGAGACAAGAAAGGACCUAGAAAUCACCUCUGCUGCAGACUCCAGCAGCCCAAACCCAGUAACAAAACCUUGUGCCAGGCCAAACUACAACUCUCGUUUCUAGGAAAUACCAGCUAAACGAGGGCGUGCCAUGCCAUAGCCAAGAAACAGGAAACAUACAGACAAGAGUACUCUCCGCCAUCACCAAUCCAGGUAGGAAGUGGGUGUCAGUGACUGUGCAUCUGGAACCUUCGAAGUUC
This 374-nucleotide long non-coding RNA is filed under the name Fukomys damarensis (Damara mole-rat). Its description in RNAcentral is "lncRNA (ENSFDAG00000024529.1)". Lineage: Eukaryota; Metazoa; Chordata; Mammalia; Rodentia; Bathyergidae. The record is from RNAcentral.